UGCCAGCCGCCGCGGUAAUACGGAGGGAGCGAACGUUGUUCGGAAUCACUGGGCGUAAAGGGCGUGUAGGCGGUCUGGCAAGUCAGGGGUGAAAUACCACGGCUCAACCGUGGACGUGCCUUUGAAACUGCUGGACUUGAGGCCGUGAGAGGAGACUGGAAUUCCCGGUGUAGCGGUGAAAUGCAUAGAUAUCGGGAAGAACACCAGUGGCGAAGGCGAGUCUCUGGCACGGUUCUGACGCUAAUGCGCGAAAGCUAGGGGAGCGAACGGGAUUAGAUA
RNAcentral lists this ribosomal RNA (279 nucleotides) under uncultured bacterium. Its description in RNAcentral is "partial 16S ribosomal RNA". It matches the Rfam family "Bacterial small subunit ribosomal RNA", at positions 506 to 784 of the family's 1533-position model. The record is from RNAcentral.